Long non-coding RNA from Hipposideros armiger (great roundleaf bat), 1815 nucleotides. RefSeq lists it as uncharacterized. The transcript has 3 exons. The record is from RefSeq and is a predicted model, not a curated record. NCBI's taxonomy places the organism in Eukaryota, Metazoa, Chordata, Mammalia, Chiroptera, Hipposideridae.
UCCCGAGGCAGCGCGAAAAGCUUUCCUGAGAGACUGAGCAGGAUGCUGGGUGGUGAAAGGUGUGCGUUGCCCCGGCGUUUAGGGAGGCGGAGGAAGCGGAGGAGGAGGUCAGGUAGUUGAGAAAAGGGAACCCGGGGCCCCAGUUUCGGGGAGGUUAACCGGUAUCAAACCGGGACCGCGUAGUCAGGCAACCUCGCGUUGCAGUAUGGCCCCGCCACUAAUGCUGUGUGACUUUGGACGUGUUACUUAAACACUCUGAACUGAAUGUUUUGCGUAAAAUGGGAUUAGUAAAACCUAUGGUUGUUGUGAGGAUUGGAAGAGAAGGUGGAAAACGCCUCACCUGGCACAUGGUAAACCCUAAGUGCUUAGUUAUUAGUGUGGAGCCCGCAGCCUCCUUACUUUAUAAAUGGGGACACAGGACGCAGAGAGGUUUAAAAGAUUAAAUGACCUGUUCGGUGUCGGGUAGCGGCAGAGACCCAGACUUCAAGUUCAGUGCUCUUUGUUCUACGUGCCCUUUUCUUAGGAAGAAGGAAAAAAAUCGAGGAAAGCCAUAAAGAGCAUCCACUGCUAUCUAUGAAUCUUAGUCCUUACCCACCCGACUCCCAUCCCCGCAGAAGUUUAGUUGAGAACUUUGGAUAUAAGGGCUGAACAGCCUUGGUGCUGCUUUCGGAGGGUAGUUAUUUGGCUUCUCUGUUUGCACCUGAGCAAGGCACGGAAUAAGCUUUCUAAGUUCCUCUGGGGCGCCUAGGUUUCUUCUAAAGUUUUGGAUGAAGUUAAAACUCUGUGACAAGAACCUCCAGGUCCUCUACAGUUUCUAGCUACUGAGGAAAGAUGGAAGUGGACACUUGACCCAGCGUCCACCACGUAGGCAACAGUGCGUUUCCAGAAGGAGGAGCCUGUGACCUCAAGGCCGUGCGGGUACCUUAGGAUUCACACACACAGGAAUGCAUUCAGUUGACCCUUCCAAGUUCCAGCUAACACGUAGUCCCUUCCAAAAAGCCUUGCUGGAUCUACUCAGUUGCAUUGAAAUAGUCCCUUUUCCAGAGCAUUGGAGUUCAAGAAACCGUGCCUCGGAGAAUUUCACCGGUUUUCCUGAGGUCUUCAUGUCACUAAAUGCCCAAACCAAGAUUCAGGUUAACUCCGUCAAAGCCCAGGAUCCUUCUAGUACAUAAUUCUGAAUCACAGGAAUUGUACAUCUGUGUGUAGGAUGUGCCUGAAUCAGCCAACUGCUGUUGCAUAAUGUGCAACCACAAAGAUGUUAGAGAUGGGCAUCUGUUUCACUCCUGUGUCUGCCUCAGCUGGGGGCCCGCUGAUCUAGGCGAGCAGGACUGGGAGCCUCUGAGCUGCGGGCUGGGCUGGGGUCUGCUGCAUGAGUCUCUCAUUCUACGUGGACCCAUGAAGUUGUCUAGCACCGUCUUCUCGUGCUGAAGGCAGAGCGUGCCCAACUGAGCAAGUGCAUCUCAGUCUCCGCUUGCAGUGGGUCUGCUUCUGUUCCAUGGCCAAAGGAAGCCAUGUGACGAAGACCAGGGAAAAGCCGACGACUCAUCCAGGGAGGGAGUAAAUACGAUUGACCAUCGGGCAGAUGGAUUGGAGUGGCAAGAGCACUAGACCGAGUUCUGUGGCCCUAGUUCUGGUCCCAGAUCUGCCAUUAAUGACUUGUGUGACCUCGGGCACAUUGCUAAUCCUUUCUGAAUUUUUAAGGUCUUAUUUAGGUUUUGACUUAAGAAGCUAUGGCUUGGGCCAGCCUUGCUCAGUUGGUUAAGAGCUCGCUCAAGAGUGCGAGCUCUGAGCAACAGCGGUUCGAGUCCCGCCCGA